Molecule: ribosomal RNA, 426 nt
Filed under: uncultured bacterium
Lineage: Bacteria
Description: partial 16S ribosomal RNA
Rfam family: Bacterial small subunit ribosomal RNA
Source: RNAcentral
GUGAGGAAUUUUCCGCAAUGGGCGAAAGCCUGACGGAGCAAUGCCGCGUGAAGGAUGAAGGCCUAUGGGUUGUAAACUUCUUUUCUUAGAGAAGAAUAUUGACGGUAUCUGAGGAAUAAGCAUCGGCUAACUCUGUGCCAGCAGCCGCGGUAAGACAGAGGAUGCAAGCGUUAUCCGGAAUGAUUGGGCGUAAAGCGUCUGUAGGUGGCUUCAAAAGUCUCCUGUCAAAGAUCAGGGCUUAACCCUGGGCCGGCAGGAGAAACUCUGAUGCUAGAGUCUGGUAGGGGCAGAGGGAAUUCCCAGUGGAGCAGUGAAAUGCGUAGAGAUCGGGAGGAACACCAAAGGCGAAAGCACUCUGCUGGGCCACAACUGACACUGAGAGACGAAAGCGAGGGGAGCAAAAGGGAUUAGAAACCCCAGUAGUCC